GUGGGGAAUUUUGGACAAUGGGCGCAAGCCUGAUCCAGCAAUGCCGCGUGCAGGAAGAAGGCCUUCGGGUUGUAAACUGCUUUUGUACGGAACGAAACGGUCCUGGUUAAUACCCGGGGCUAAUGACGGUACCGUAAGAAUAAGCACCGGCUAACUACGUGCCAGCAGCCGCGGUAAUACGUAGGGUGCAAGCGUUAAUCGGAAUUACUGGGCGUAAAGCGUGCGCAGGCGGUGCUGUAAGACAGGCGUGAAAUCCCCGGGCUCAACCUGGGAAUGGCGCUUGUGACUGCAAAGCUGGAGUGCGGCAGAGGGGGAUGGAAUUCCGCGUGUAGCAGUGAAAUGCGUAGAUAUGCGGAGGAACACCGAUGGCGAAGGCAAUCCCCUGGGCCUGCACUGACGCUCAUGCACGAAAGCGUGGGGUGCAAACAGGAUUAGAUACCCGUGUAGUCC
This 450-nucleotide ribosomal RNA is filed under the name uncultured bacterium. Its description in RNAcentral is "bacterial SSU rRNA". It matches the Rfam family "Bacterial small subunit ribosomal RNA", at positions 354 to 796 of the family's 1533-position model. The record is from RNAcentral.